RNA transcript from Neogale vison (American mink), 3866 nucleotides. It is a transcript of the gene named copper metabolism domain containing 1, with no coding region annotated. The record is from RefSeq and is a predicted model, not a curated record. The transcript has 5 exons. Lineage: Eukaryota; Metazoa; Chordata; Mammalia; Carnivora; Mustelidae.
UACUGACCAUGGCGGGCGAGCUUGAGAGCUCGAAAGCUCUGAGUGGGUUGCUGAACGGCCUGGCCCAGGAAGCUUUCUAUGGGCACCAAGGCAUCACGGAGGAGCUGCUGCGGAGCCAGCUCUAUCCCGAGGUGUCACUCGAGGAGUUCCGCCCCUUUCUGGCGAAGAUGAGGGGGAUUCUUAAGUCAAUUGCAUCUGCAGACAUGGAUUUCAACCAGCUGGAGGCAUUCUUGACUGCUCAAACCAAAAAGCAAGGUGGGAUCUCAUCUGACCAAGCCACUGUCAUUUCCAAAUUCUGGAAGAGCCACAAGAUAAAAAUUCGAGAGAGUCUCGUGAACCAGAGCCGUUGGGACAGUGGGCUUCGGGGCCUGAGUUGGAGAGUUGAUGGCAAAUCGCAGUCAAGGCAUUCAGCUCAGAUACAUACCCCUGUUGCCAUAAUGGAGCUGGAAAUAGGGAAAAGUGGACAGGAAUCUGAAUUUCUGUGUUUGGAAUUUGAUGAAGUCAAGGUCAAUCAACUCCUAAAGAAGCUCUCAGAGGUAGAAGAAAGUAUCAGCACACUGAUGCAGCCAGCCUAGCUGAAGAGGGAGUUGUUGAAGCAAAGGUCCCCAAAAUAUCCUGAGGUUUCUGCAUCUGCCAGGAAGUGACUUUUUUUACUCACUUGGCAUUUAUGGCUCUGUAUAUUUUUUGCAACUUCAUGUGAAUCAAGUAUCACUUCAAAAUAAAAAUUUUAAGAAAAAGUAUGUACUUCUGCUCUGCCAAGGGAGCUGUGUGUGGCGAUGACUUGGUCAUUAUAUCUAUCCUCAAGGAGUUUAGUUAGUGGAGCAAACUACCAACAGAAUGAUCUGGAAGAUGAGGAGAUGCUGCUUGCUGCAGAGAUGAGAGAAGACACUGAAGAAUAUCCGGAAAACCCUCACAAAGGUACAAUUGAGGGCUUGUAUGAAUUGAAGAGCUAUGCUUCUACCACGAGAAUUCCAUUCUCAGGCCAAUCCCUGACAAGGUUGUCACUUCUGCCUUCUCAGAUCUUCAGGGACCACAGCUGAAGCCAUUUGGGACAGAGAUGGAUGCACCCUGAUUAAGGCUAAUAUUCCUAGCUGACAGCUUUUCUUUGCAGCUCAGAAUUCUUAGAGAUACCUUAUCUCCCACCAAGUCAUUCAAAAUGUAGCUACUGACUUCCUUUAUAAAAGAUAGGAAGAAUGGUUUUAAAACAGGAAGGGAAGCCUAGAACAUUUGUUGGGGUUACUAAUAAUGAAAACAUUUCAAAAAGUUCCCAUAGACCUUUAACAAACCUCCUCAACUCUACCGAACAUUAACACUGCUUUGGGGUUCUAACACUCGUUUAAUGUUUAUUUUAAAUCUUUUUGAUUGAACACAUUCUUUUAGUUUAUAAAGAGAAAUAGUACAAAGAGGUACACAGAUGGAAAAUCUUGUUCUUGCAUCUACCCUUUCUUUAUUUCUUUCCUUUUCUUUUUUUCUUUUUUGAAGAUCUAAUUGACUUUGUUAAGUGAAUUCAUGAAUUGGGCAGCAUCCCGUCUAGCCAGUAGACGGAGCCCACCUCCUCUGCCCUUUCCAGCCCAUUACUCUCAUACCUCACAAACACUUACAGGGGACCAUCUGUGUUUUUCUUUAAGCAAACAUAAACAAAAUAUUUUCAUACCUCCACUUUUCUCCUUCUUCCUGUCCCCCCAGAACCAGCAUCCUAUGCAUACUUUUCUGGACUUUGCAUUUAUCACUUAACAAUGUAGCUUAGAAAGAUUUCCAAAUCAGAACAUAGUAAUGCUUUAAAAAAAAAAAAAAAAAAGGAAGACGAAGAACUUCAGCCCCCUGCCCUCCAGCAUCACCUGAGAUAUUGCUCAUGUUCCCUCUUUCCUGUCUAACCUCAAUUGUUUGAAUCCCAAAUUCCCCAAGCGUAGUAUGUUCUCUGUGCUAACAAGCUCAGGGCUUACACAGACCCCAGGCUGUGUGACUGGAGCAAAGCCACAAACCCCCUGUGCCAUCAAGACCACAGGGACACAUUCAGGAGCAACAGCAACAGGGUGAUGAUUGCCUUAGCAUGAGCGGCACCCCAAAGAGAUCACUCUGGGCCAAGGAGGAGAGAUGAUCUGGAACUAGGCUUUGUUGCCAAGCAACCCCGGAGGGGAUGAAAUUAACUCAGUCUGUUUUUCAUGUAACUGCAUCUCAAAUGAAAGCUGAGGCCAGAGUUGAUCCCAUGCAAAAUUAAUAAUCACCACAUGAUUCUUUCUUUCAAGUGGCUGUUGCCGAAAGACAGGGAACUAAAGAAACCAGUAUACCCCUCUUUAAAGGGGUAAGGGCAGGGAAGAAAGAGAACAAAUACAUACAGAUCCCAUGUUUUUCCAUUUGAGUCUUAGGUAGGAAAUCAAGCCUUUCUCUCUUAGACUGCUGUUGACUCUCCCUAGUAGGAAACCUGCUUUAAAACCAGAUCCCAAGUAGACGAGAUAAUAUGUACCAAAGAGCCAAGGGAGGAUAUAUUUCCUAGAAGUGAGAGAAAGCUUGGAUCACAUGAGACCCUUUUAGUCUCCUUUUUUAGAAAAUUUAAAAUGCACUUUUCCCCAUUAGUAUGUUCAGGGAAGAUAAAUUAUCAUAAAAAUAAAAAUAGCCCUUCCACCUACUCUCCUUAACCCAGCACUAAUGGCUGAAAGAGGAGCCCAGCUUGAUAUGCUCACUAACUCUUUCUCUUCAAGGGCUUAAUCAAAUUUAAAAGGCAAAAAUGACAGAGAAGAGUGGAUUCCCCCAUCCACUGCCCCCUACUUCUGCUGCAUUCAUUUGGGUGAAUUACCUGUGUGGUCAGGGAGGAGCCGUGGCCUUCUCCCCAAAAGAAUCUUUGAUUAUUAUUUUGUAGUUGUGCCAUAAAAUGUAAUUAAAAAUAAAGCUUUUUUUAGCCAAGGAAACUAGUUUUAUCUGAGAAGGAAAGCUUUCUUGCCCAGCAGAAGGUGAGACUUUGUGGUGGGCAAAGUAGCGACCAGUGGUCUUCCUCACUUAGCACUUACGCAAUGUAUUUGCUGGUGUUGGGACAGGAUAUUCCCUUGUUCCCUUCUGCCACUCCACCAUGUUCAUCGUAUACUAGGCCAGUUUGAGCAAGCCUCCUCCUCUGUGAAGCAACGAGUACCCACCGACAGAGUAGGGCAGAAUGUGCUGGUACGUAGAGAAAACCAGAGAGCAAAAUGUACACAGUGGGUUUCUGGAAACUCUGUCAGUGAGGGUCUCAGCAGGAAACAGAUGCUAUAUUCACAUUGGAUGCUUUGAGUAACUUUUAAUAAAGGGGUUAUUUAGAAUGGUUGGUGGGGAAACCACAAAGGACAGGUAUUACCUGGGGCUGAUCACGCUGGGUUGGGAGUCACUCCCAUGCUUCAGCCUGCAGAGUGAGAGAAUUGGCAGGCAGAGGGAUGGAAUAGAGUGGGCCACCUUACAGUGUAGCUGUCAGUCGGGGGAAGGAGAGCCCUACAUCAGUUGCCUCCUUCCCUCUGAUUUCCGGCAAGGGCUCACCAUUUGGCUGAAACCCACUGGAAGUCAGAGGAUCAAGAAAUCCUUGAAUGUAGAAAUGUAACACACAGAAAACAGGAAAUGCUAAACCUAGCUUCAUCUGCCUGGCUUCUGGCUAUUCAUUCAUUCAACCAGCACUUACCGAUCACCAGCUCUGUGCAGGUGCCGAACUAGGAGACGCAGCACUAAGCAAGGCAGCCCUCAUGGAGCGGACAGUCCCUCUGGCCACGUCAGGCCUAGGCAAAGCUGCAAAGUACAUCCAGACUGAACAUUCAAGAUCCCAAGCCCUCCAAUGUGUACCAUGGUUAUUGCCUGACUUUUCUUAUCUCGCUUCCCUCUUGGUCAGGAAUAAAGAUUUUCUUAUUCUA